This 26-nucleotide non-coding RNA is filed under the name Rattus norvegicus (Norway rat). The record is from RNAcentral. Lineage: Eukaryota; Metazoa; Chordata; Mammalia; Rodentia; Muridae.
UAGUUGUAGCUAGGAGGACUGUCGUC